Molecule: ribosomal RNA, 245 nt
Filed under: uncultured bacterium
Lineage: Bacteria
Description: partial 16S ribosomal RNA
Rfam family: Bacterial small subunit ribosomal RNA
Source: RNAcentral
AAGCCAGGCGGCGACGCCGAGCGGAACCCGAAAACCGGUCUCAGUUCGGAUCGGAGUCUGCAACCCGACUCCGUGAAGCUGGAUUCGCUAGUAAUCGCGCAUCAGCCAUGGCGCGGUGAAUACGUUCCCGGGCCUUGUACACACCGCCCGUCAAGCCAUGGGAGCCGGGGGUGCUUGAAGUGCGUCGCCGCGAGGCGCGCCCUAGAGCAAAACCGGUGACUGGGGCUAAGUCGUAACAAGGUAUC